Molecule: long non-coding RNA, 3441 nt
Filed under: Homo sapiens (human)
Lineage: Eukaryota; Metazoa; Chordata; Mammalia; Primates; Hominidae
Description: HSALNT0087712
Source: RNAcentral
GAUAGUGGAAGGAGAUGGUAGUCCUACUGGUAAUGAUAGAUCAUGUAGUGACUUGUACGUAAUGAUUAAUAGAAGGCCUCAGCUUUCCAGCUGAGGGAAAUGAGAAUGCCAUUGGAGGGUUUUGAGUACAGCAUGAUGUGAUCUGACAUAUUGUAGAAGAAUUUUGAAGGCCACACUGUUGGGAAUCAUUGUAUUGAAGCACAGGUGAGUCAUGUAAAGUACUUAGAAGACAACUGCAAUCAUCCAGGCAACAGAUGAUGGAGUGCUCAUACAGGGCUGGCAGAAGGGAAAGUGUUCCAGGCCACGGACAACACAAGGUGCUUGGUGAGCUCUAAAUGGUACCUGCUUUCUGCUGGUAAACAUAAAAUGAAUUUGUGAUGGAAAGAAUUCACCCGUGAAGGCUGCCCGUCUCUGGGAAGAAGGAAGACAGAGAAUUUUGAGGUUCCAGGGGACAAGUAUAUCUCACAGCUGGAAAGAGGAAAGGAUGAAGACAAAAUUUGAACACAAGACUUAAAACAACUAAAUUAUCUCUAAGUAUUCUUAAGUAAUUUGAGUUAUAUUUGUCCUUCCCAAAACAACAAGACUCUAAGCCACCCAAGGGCAAGGGCUGAAGGGUAUCAUCUAUUUAUUCUGAAUCACCUUGAACAUCUUGACAUGGACUCUAUAUGAAACAUCUGUCGAAAAGGCAUUGAUGACUACAUCAAAGGAGAUAGAAAAUCACAGCUCCUUGAAAAUUGUUAUCAUUUUCUUUCAGAAGUGAUCAUUAUCAUUUUUGAGGAUGAAAAUGUAGGGAUUGGUGUCAUAUCUUUUUUAUUCCAGUGGGAACUGUCAAAAGUGUUUUGUUUUUGAUGCUUCUUUCUGAAUGAUUGAGAAAUGCUAAUCAUUUCAAAAAACAGAACAAAGACCAAGGCAUAUAAAGCCUUGAUAGAUUUUAUUUUAUUUUUUUUGAAAAUUCUUAUUUCUGAUGGAAAGGGAAUGAAGGAAAGGAAUAAGGCAAAUCAUGUUUCUCUGUAUGACACUGACAGCAUUAAUGCUGCCAGUUCUUCAUCCUACAGAAAGAAGGUUGUGUGGAUAUUAAUGCUCUCUCUGGAGAUGGGAAUAUGCCUCAUGUUGCUUAAGAUCAAUAUUUACCUUCGCAGACACUGAAGACAGAAUGGACUCUUUAAAAUUGACAUCAAAGUUCCAUUAACAUGUGCUUUCACAAAGAAAUGUCCUACUUUCUAGGCAGCAUUGCAAGUGCAUGGUAUUUCAUAUGUCUAUUGUUUUAGGCACUGAAAGGCCGGAAGAAAAAGGCUUGCUCUUCCAUUGCGCCUCUGCAUUUCAGGGAGCAGAUUCUGUAGAGUGCUCCAAAAUGAUAAUGAAGUCAAUGAUGAAGCAACGGGGACUUUAAGUAGUUAACGUCCCUCUGUAAGUGCCAAAAUCACUGUAUCAGGGAUUUGUCCACACAAGGAAUUCAGCUUUUUAUUUCUUACAAAUAAUGUGCUGCCAUGAAGAGAAACACAAAUACUCAUUCUGAAAUACUCUAUAGCAAAAUCUGCAAAGCUUAACAUCUGCAAAUUUUCUCCUUAACAUCUAUUUUUCAUAUGCUCCAUUGCUCCUUUUUAUUUUUGAAUAAUAAAAAAAUGCAAAAGAAAAUAACAGCAAAUUAAGCAGAGAUCCAGAAUUGGCAUGCAAAAUACCUGGUGUUUUCAACCAACAUUUAUCUUCACCCCAUUGUGGAGAGCUCAAUAAAUGCUAUUUGAAUAUGUUAUCAAUCAUCUAACAUAUUAGCGUGGAGAGAUGAUGCCAAACUGCUUUCACCUUUAAAAUACCUAAUUCUGGAAAGGACACGUGACUGUACAUAAAACAACCUCAUUUUCCCCCAUUAAUUAGACCUGGGCAGAUCAUUUAAUGGCAGGAAAUUAUGAUGGAGUUCAUUUUAUCAUUUAGCAGUUCAAUUAUACAGCAAUUCACAUAUAUAGGCAUAUAUGUGUUACUAUAUAUGCAUAGAUAUAUAUUAUUAACUUAUGUCUUGCCAUUGAACUGAGAAUAAAAUCCAAUGUCCUCACUGUAAAUUCAAAGGUCCUUCAUGAUUGAGCCCUGGUGUAUCUUUCUGACUUCACUUCCGACCACUCUCGUCCUCCCUCCCUGUGUUCCAGCCACACUCACUUUCCUUCUGUUUUUUGAACACAUGCAGCUCAUUCUGCUUAUGCGCUUUGCAGCUGCCUGUUCCACUGCCUAUAACAUCCUCACCUAAUACGGCAUGUAGGACUUUGCUCAAAUAGGUCUCUGCUCUCCCUUGGCCCUCUGUGUAGCAGCAGCACCCUUCUUCAUCACUGUAUCACUACUAGAGCAAUUAUCCAAAAUUAUCUUAUAUAGCCAUAUUCUUUUGUCUGUGCCUACUAAAAUGUAAGCUCCUUGAGAAGUCAAACCUUGUUUCUUUUAUUCACUCUUACUUUCUCAGCACCUAGGAUUUUUUUUUAAUAAAAUGCAUUUUAAUUACUAUAUGUUCUUCAAUAAUGAUUUGGAAUAUAGAGAAAACUCAAGGGAAAAAUCAUUCAUAAUCUUUUCUUUCUACUGUAAGUUCAGUUAAUUCAGAUGUAUUUCCUUCCAGUAUUUUUCCUCUAUUUAAAUUAUAAUGUUUAUUCCAACUCGCAUCUUACUGUUUCUUAAUGCUUAUGUCUGCCUAUGUCAGAAUCAUCCUGACUCAUUUGAGUGCCACAACAAUCCUGUGGAACAGCAAAACCAAGCUAUUAUUAACAAAUUACAAAUAAGGAAACUGAAACUCAUGAAGGCUAAAUGUCUUUCUUGCGCAAUGUCACCCACUCUGAGUCUAGGUUUGGCUCAUCUCUCAACUUUAUUGUCCAGAAUUUCUAUUCAUAAAUGAUCUGCUCAUUUUUCCUCACAAAGCAUGACCUUCUUUAUCACCAUCCCUUCAUUCCAUUGAUACUAAAUCUCUUUUCAGCUACUUAAAUCUUUCCCUUUAUAUCCUGCCUCUUUUGAUAAAUCUGGACAAUCUCAAUUCUCUAUACUUUUUCUCUUAAUAUGUAUUUACAAUUCAGAUCUCUGUCAUCAUUUCACACUUGGCAUAUGAUAUCUAAAUAGCUCAUAAAAAAUUAAUGGAAGUAUUCUGUCUAAUUCAACAUGUAUUUCUUCUUUGCAAUCCCAGUGCCUAUAUCUUCUGAUGUCUGUCCUCAUAGUUCAACUGAAUCAUAUGGAUAAUAAGAACCAUAUUUGGUUCAUCUUGUUUCCUUCCUCCAAACCAUGCCCAUGUGUCUAUACAUACUUAAAAAAUGGAUCAUUCAACAUAUGUUUAUACAGCUCCUUUGUACCAGGCGUUUUUUAAGGUCCUGAGGAUACUGCAAAUAAAUAAAACUAAAAUCUCCCUGUUCUCUUUGCAUUUCCAUUAUGGUAAUUUUACUAAAAAAAAUGGCAUCAAAAUGUAUAAGUGUUAAAAUAAAG